This 301-nucleotide ribosomal RNA is filed under the name uncultured bacterium. RNAcentral's name for it is "partial 16S ribosomal RNA". It matches the Rfam family "Bacterial small subunit ribosomal RNA", at positions 509 to 807 of the family's 1533-position model. The record is from RNAcentral.
CAGCAGCCGCGGGAAAACGGAGGGAGCUAGCGUUGUUCGGAAUUACUGGGCGUAAAGCGCACGUAGGCGGCUUUGUAAGUUAGAGGUGAAAGCCUGGAGCUCAACUCCAGAACUGCCUUUAAGACUGCAUCGCUUGAAUCCAGGAGAGGUGAGUGGAAUUCCGAGUGUAGAGGUGAAAAUCGUAGAUAUUCGGAAGAACACCAGUGGCGAAGGCGGCUCACUGGACUGGUAUUGACGCUGAGGUGCGAAAGCGUGGGGAGCAAACAGGAUUAGAUACCCCAGUAGUCCCUGUCUCUUAUAC